GGUUGAGUGGUCUAGCGGUUAUGAUUUCUGUCUAACAGUGAAGUUCGAACGCUGAUUCAAACUCCUCCUGUACACAGAAGGUUCCCAGUUCGACCCUGGGCUCAAUCA
This is a non-coding RNA of Sistotremastrum suecicum HHB10207 ss-3, 108 nucleotides long. The record is from the annotation of a GenBank genome assembly. NCBI's taxonomy places the organism in Eukaryota, Fungi, Basidiomycota, Agaricomycetes, Sistotremastrales, Sistotremastraceae.